CAGUCGCCGCGGUAAAACGAAGGGGGCUAGCGUUGUUCGGAUUUACUGGGGGUAAAGCGCACGUAGGCGGACUUUUAAGUCAGGGGUGAAAUCCCGGGGCUCAACCCCGGAACUGCCUUUGAUACUGGAAGUCUUGAGUAUGGUAGAGGUGAGUGGAAUUCCGAGUGUAGAGGUGAAAUUCGUAGAUAUUCGGAGGAACACCAGUGGCGAAGGCGGCUCACUGGACCAUUACUGACGCUGAGGUGCGAAAGCGUGGGGAGCAAACAGGAUUAGAUACCCCCGUAGUCCCUGUCUCUUAUAC
RNAcentral lists this ribosomal RNA (301 nucleotides) under uncultured bacterium. RNAcentral describes it as "partial 16S ribosomal RNA". It matches the Rfam family "Bacterial small subunit ribosomal RNA", at positions 509 to 807 of the family's 1533-position model. The record is from RNAcentral.